ACAUACGACCACAGCCGCUAGCAGAGCUUAGGAUCCCGUCCGAUCUCCCUUAAUAACCUGGCGAGCGCUGGAUUAGUAGUUGGGUCGGUGACGACCAGCGAAUUCCCAGUGUUGUAUGUU
This is a ribosomal RNA of Pochonia chlamydosporia 170, 120 nucleotides long. The record is from Rfam. NCBI's taxonomy places the organism in Eukaryota, Fungi, Ascomycota, Sordariomycetes, Hypocreales, Clavicipitaceae.